GUGUCCUUAGUACAGUGGUUAGUACACUUGACCUGGAUAUAGAGACAUGGGUUCAAGUUCAACUCCCAUAGGACACA
This 77-nucleotide transfer RNA is filed under the name Puccinia triticina 1-1 BBBD Race 1. RNAcentral describes it as "tRNA-Und (NNN) (tRNA-Und-NNN-28-1)". It matches the Rfam family "tRNA". Rfam says of the family: Transfer RNA (tRNA) molecules are approximately 80 nucleotides in length. Their secondary structure includes four short double-helical elements and three loops (D, anti-codon, and T loops). Lineage: Eukaryota; Fungi; Basidiomycota; Pucciniomycetes; Pucciniales; Pucciniaceae. The record is from Rfam by way of RNAcentral.